RNAcentral lists this transfer RNA (58 nucleotides) under Cavia porcellus (domestic guinea pig). It matches the Rfam family "tRNA", at positions 7 to 64 of the family's 71-position model. Rfam says of the family: Transfer RNA (tRNA) molecules are approximately 80 nucleotides in length. Their secondary structure includes four short double-helical elements and three loops (D, anti-codon, and T loops). The record is from Rfam by way of RNAcentral. Lineage: Eukaryota; Metazoa; Chordata; Mammalia; Rodentia; Caviidae.
GUGGCUCAGUGCUGAGCGCCUGCCUGGUAUGCAUGAAGCCCUGGGUUCCAUUCCCAGC